This 509-nucleotide ribosomal RNA is filed under the name uncultured bacterium. RNAcentral's name for it is "bacterial SSU rRNA". It matches the Rfam family "Bacterial small subunit ribosomal RNA", at positions 29 to 524 of the family's 1533-position model. The record is from RNAcentral.
AACGAACGCUGGCGGCAGGCCUCAUACAUGCAAGUCGAGCGAUUAAGACUCCUUCGGGAGUGUAUAAAGCGGCGAACGGGUGAGUAACAGGUGGAUGAUCUACCUUCCGGUGGGGGAUAACGGCUGGAAACGGCCGCUAAUACCGCAUUCGGUUAAUACGCUGUGGCGUAUUAAAGAAAGGCGCCUCAAAGCGCCGCCGGGAGAUGAGUCCGCCCCCCAUUAGCUAGUUGGUGAGAUAACAGCUCACCAAGGCAACGAUGGGUAGCCGAACUGAGAGGUUGAUCGGCCACACUGGAACUGAGACACGGUCCAGACACCUACGGGUGGCAGCAGUAGGGAAUAUUGGGCAAUGGGCGAAAGCCUGACCCAGCCAUGCCGCGUGAGUGAUGAAGGUCCUAGAGAUUGUAAAACUCUUUCUGAGGAAGAAUGAAUAGGGAAGGAAAUGUCCUUAUUUUGACGGUACCUCAGGAAUAAGGAACGGCUAACUCCGUGCCAGCAGCCGCGGUAAA